This is a regulatory RNA element of Loxodonta africana (African savanna elephant), 45 nucleotides long. It matches the Rfam family "Histone 3' UTR stem-loop". From Rfam's summary of the family: The mRNAs of metazoan histone genes lack a poly-A tail. The record is from Rfam. NCBI's taxonomy places the organism in Eukaryota, Metazoa, Chordata, Mammalia, Proboscidea, Elephantidae.
CCAAAGGCUCUUUUCAGAGCCACCCACAGCAGCAUUGGAAAGCAG